CGGGGCUUCGCACCGUUCCAGUGACGCGCACGCGCGCUAGGACGUGGCGGACGACAUCACACUCCACGGCUCGUCCGCCACGGCCAACGCAAGCGCUCUGGAUACACGUACUGGCCCUUGCACAGCGGAUUUCCAUAGGCUUCUCUCAGCUCAAGGAAAUCGGUUGAUGAGCCGCAUGGCACGGCUCCUAUGUCCAGCGCGGCGUCCACUGCAUCGAUGCAGGUGCGGGAGCCGAGGCACUUGGUGAGCGUAUGGUGAUCGCCGUCGAUCUGUCGCACACGAGCACGUGCCAUGACUGUAAGCACUGCCUCGGACGCGCCGACUGCAUGGAUGUCCUGCGCGUUCACGUCUACUGCCCGCAGGCUCUGAGCACGGACUUCAGCUGCUGAUGUGCGUGCUCGCUCCGUCGUGACACCCCACUACAUUCAAAUUUCGUUCACGGAGCCGCUGCCGUUUUAUAUGCUCAACGCGACAGUUCCGACGCGCGAUGACGGAAGGCACGCACCUCCAUGCGUGGCAUCCCAGGGUCCAGCGCCCCCCCUCCACCCCCGCUCUCUCUGUGUGCGGAAGCCCGGCAGCCCCCUCACCCUCUAUCCCUGCCAACGCCGAACCACUUCUGGUGCUGACAGGGCUGGGCCCUUACGGCGUUGGGCGAGGUCGGCGCGACGUAGCGCCACGGAUGCCGGCGGCCAUGUCGUGCAUGGCGCUGCGUCCGAGCCACCCGCGACAGUGAGCACAGGCUUGCACCGUCCAUGCGAUGGGCGGAGCGUGUCAGCGCGGCUCGAGCGUGUCGCAGCCGGCCCCUCACACUGGCCCACGGCGAGGGGUGCGGGGGCCUGAGUGUCACCGCGACGGGGAGACGCACCCAGGGAGGAGGUGGGGGGAGUGGCGACCGGCAUGAUGGAGGGGCGGCUGUGGGGCGAUGUGUGUGUAUGUGGGUGUCGUCGCGUUUGAGGCAGGAGCCGUGCUGCGAUGACCGAGCCGGCGCACUGCUGCAGCGCGCGUGUGUCUUGCGCUGCUUCGCACCAGGCGAUGGGAGUGAGGUGGGGUGCCUGCAGCACUCGGCGGCGGGGGGGCAGAGCGGCCUCCACCUCGCAGUGUGCGGCAGCGAAAACGGACACGCGGAAGACCAAACAAUCUGGGACGCCCCCAAGAGGGGCGCUUCUCCCUGGGCUGCGCUUGUGCCCGACGGCUGCCUGCCGCUUGUGGGCGAGGUGCCUGCGCUGACGGCUGUGCUGAACGAGCUUGUGGAGUGGCUGUGGCUGGUGGGCGACAUGCCGAAGGGGAGUUGUGGUGUUGAUGUUGCUGGUGUUUGUGUGCCGGCGAAGGUGGUGUGGAGGUGUUGGAUCAUGAGCGUCCAGUAUCUCGCACCCCCUUUCUCUUCUCGCCCACUCCCAGACGAUGGAUGUGGUUUUCGUCUGCCACGCUUGUGUGUGCGCACCGGUGCCGCGCUCUCUGGUGAUGGUGGGCACGCACCUCGGUGGUGGGUUUCUGUGAGGUGGCGGAUGGGAUGUCGUGGCGAUGACAACGUCUCAUGCACGCGAGUAUACACACACCCACACCUAUGCAUGUACAUGUACAUCCACAAACAACAAAAAAUGGCACACGGCUGCCGUUCUUGUGCCGCGGUUGACGGCGUAUACACAGGGGCAAGGCGGAGUUGAGGGUGUGCACCUCCGCAGAAACAGCGCAGGGCUCAAGACAGCGACACGAAACGGAGGAGGAGGAAGAGGGGGGACGCGUGCGCGAUGAAGCGUUCGACCGCCUGUCGGUUGUGCCGCUGCUGUCAGUGUCGGUUGCUGCUGGGUGAUGAUGGUGGCCGAGGACACCGUCUCGCACUGCGAGCCCCCUCCCUCUACCCUUUUUCCUCCCGCCCCCGCGCGCGCGCCUGUGCAUGGGCGCACUGCCGAUCCCAGUCUGGGGCGCGCACUGUGGUGUGCGAGUGUGUGUGAGCGGGGCGGCGGCAUUCUAUCCCGCGCGCCCUCCCUCUACGCCGCGCCCCAUCUGCUUUAUCCAUUCUUUCACUCCUUCCAUUGCUCCUCUGCCGGUCUCGGUGCUCGCGACCUUCUCAG
RNAcentral lists this unclassified non-coding RNA (2072 nucleotides) under Leishmania donovani. RNAcentral's name for it is "gene:unknown". The record is from RNAcentral. Lineage: Eukaryota; Euglenozoa; Kinetoplastea; Trypanosomatida; Trypanosomatidae.